This 303-nucleotide ribosomal RNA is filed under the name uncultured bacterium. Its description in RNAcentral is "partial 16S ribosomal RNA". It matches the Rfam family "Bacterial small subunit ribosomal RNA", at positions 507 to 807 of the family's 1533-position model. The record is from RNAcentral.
AGCAGCAGCCACGGUAAUACGGAGGGGGCUAGCGUUGUUCGGAAUUACUGGGCGUAAAGCGCACGUAGGCGGCUUGGUAAGUUAGAGGUGAAAGCCCGGAGCUCAACUCCGGAAUUGCCUUUAAGACUGCCGAGCUAGUAGGUGAGAGAGGUAAGUGGAAUUCCGAGUGUAGAGGUGAAAUUCGUAGAUAUUCGGAAGAACACCAGUGGCGAAGGCGGCUUACUGGCUCAUUCUAGACGCUGAGGUGCGAAAGCGUGGGGAGCAGACAGGAUUAGAUACCCGAGUAGUCCCUGUCUCUUAUAC